GCACGAGUCGCCUAAGCGCUAAAUGGGGCGAAGAUUUUCUUGCUGCCAUUCGCAGGGCAGCGGAGUCUACAUAAUUGCUGUUUGCUGGUCAUAGUGUCGGUACUCUCUCAUUGUGUGGGUUGGGAAUUGAGGCCUCCAUCCCUGAAAGGAGAGAGUUGAAUAAAUAAAAAGACCAGGCAUGUUGGAAAAGGUUUGAGGAAAUACCGUCACUACCGCGCUGCGGGUGGGCGCAGGAAGACAUUAGGUUUCUUCUCUCUGUCAAUGUAUGUUGGAAGACGGAAAUUGAUAUGACGACCAAAAAAAAAAAAAGAAAAGAAAUCAUGGAGGCGAAACCAUGUAUUUCGAUUAGGGCCAGUGAUGUAUGUGACUCUCUAACUUGUUCGAGAAAAGAUGUACUAGCUAUAUAAAAAGGGUAGGGAAAAGAAGGUCAACUCCCAUGAAUGAUUCCGUACACUAGCUAUAAACCUGUAUCCUCUUUUUUAUCAACUAAUUCUCCAGCUCUCUUUUCAGUUUCAAGCAUUUUCCAUGUUAAUUUCGACAAUUUUGAGUUUUGAGCGGGCAUUCUAGUUUGCCACUCAAGUUAAUGGGCACACGAUCAUGAAAAUGUACUGUGUAUAUAUAGAUGUACUUUAAGUACGCACAUGUUCCAAAUAAAACAUUACAGAA
RNAcentral lists this small RNA (666 nucleotides) under Histoplasma capsulatum. Its description in RNAcentral is "hypothetical RNA". Lineage: Eukaryota; Fungi; Ascomycota; Eurotiomycetes; Onygenales; Ajellomycetaceae. RNAcentral also lists the same sequence under 1 other name. The record is from RNAcentral.